This 465-nucleotide ribosomal RNA is filed under the name uncultured bacterium. Its description in RNAcentral is "partial 16S ribosomal RNA". It matches the Rfam family "Bacterial small subunit ribosomal RNA", at positions 28 to 506 of the family's 1533-position model. The record is from RNAcentral.
GAUGAACGCUGGCGGCGUGCUUAACACAUGCAAGUCGAACGAUGAAGCCCAGCUUGCUGGGUGGAUUAGUGGCGAACGGGUGAGUAACACGUGAGUAACCUGCCCUUAACUCUGGGAUAAGCCUGGGAAACUGGGUCUAAUACCGGAUAGGAGCGUCCACCGCAUGGUGGGUGUUGGAAAGAUUUAUCGGUUUUGGAUGGACUCGCGGCCUAUCAGCUUGUUGGUGAGGUAAUGGCUCACCAAGGCGACGACGGGUAGCCGGCCUGAGAGGGUGACCGGCCACACGGGGAUUGAGAAAGGGCCCGGACCCCAACGGGGGGAAGCGGGGGGGAAUUUUGCACAAUGGGCGCAAGCCUGUAGCAGGGACGCCGGGGGGGGGAAGACGGCCUUCGGGUGGGAACCCUUUUUCAUUAGGGAAGAAGCGAAAGGACCGGAACCUGCAAAAGAAGCACCGGCUAACUACGG